UAAAAAAAAAAAAAAAAAGUAAAAAUAAAAUAUCAGUUUUGAUGAGCAGCUGAAAAUGCAGUGCCAAACAAGGUUUUGUGUGAGAGGAGUGACUGAUUUAUUGUGAAAAAUAGCUAGUGUAUGAGAUAUAUGGCAACAUUUUUUUUAAUCAUUUUAACACAUCCUCUUCAUUAAUAAGGUUUUCUUUUGAAUGAUGAGGAGCUUGAAAUGUUGCCGGCAUAACUCUUUGUAGGUUUUACACAUUUUUACUGUAUAUUAGAUGAAUAUCAGUGAUAUAAUUUGGUCCUCUGUUUGGCAUAAAACUAGUUGUUAUGGCUUAUAUGUUUGGUUUUUCACACCAUAUAAGUUUACUUGAUAAUUCUUGAAUUGAAAUGGAAGAACUUAACUCUAUAAAUCAGAAUUUUAUUAUGUGCAAAUCUAAUACCAUUUAAGGUUUAGUGUAUGAGAAAGAUGAUUAAUGAACAAACAUUAUGGUACUGUUUGUGAGUUAACAUGCAAAGGAAAAAUAAAGAUGUGUCUAUGCAUUUCUUAUUACAGAAAGCUUUAUAAUGGGAGGAAAUAUACUUUUAUUCUGAAAAAGCAUGAAGUUCUUAAAUUUGCUAUCUGUGCCUAUCAUCAUACCAAGGUAUUAGGCAGCCAUACUCAUAUCAAACAAAAAGAUGUUUAAAUUGAGAUUUAGCUAGGUUGUUAAUUAAUAUUCUUCAAAAUUUAUUCACUUAAUAUUUCUAUCAUAGUUAAUGCAAGAUGAAGGAAAGGAAGAUUAAUUUUCCUUGACGAUUUGGGACUUCUGCACUUCCUUGGAAAAGGAUUUUGGCUCCUGUAAUCUACAAAAGUGGGUAAAAACUCAUGGUUAUGUUUUAUUCUGAAGAAUCCUUUUGCACAUGGGUUGGCAACUUGGCAGUUGGCACCCUCAUUGCCUUUCUUAGUUGAUUUUCAAUCCUUUAUCUUAUCAGGGAAAAAAUGCGAAAAAAAAAGGGGCUCUAUAAUUGGUGUAAGAAGAAAUUAGUAGGUGGUAGAGAUUUAAAUGUCCACGCCUACUGGGAAGCAAUUGCGUUAAGCCCUUGUUUGCUUGGCAUUUGUAAUGCUUUUUUAUUCCCUAGUGACUGGCUUGAAUCUACAUUUACUGCUUGUUAACUGACUUAAAGGAUAGUUCAUCUGUAUUUUUCUAAUCUAUUUUCAUCAAUGUAUAUUCCUUCAUUUUCUAUGGUUCAAAAUCAGGGUGAUGGUUUUCCUUUGACUUUUUGGUUUUCUAAGGAUGUUCUAUGGGAUGGGGAAAAAAAUUUGUGUGGCUUUUAGAUGAGUGUAUUUCAAUUCCAUGGAUCUGAAGGGGAAGUGGUGAUAUUUGUGGGAUUGUGGAUAUGCUGAUCUUGGUGUAGCAGAAACUGUAGAUAGUGGAAUAUACUCUUAAAUGUGAAAAUAAUUGGUACUUAUUGUUCUUGUGUGGACUAUACAGAUUUCUGUCAUUUCCUUAGUUUGAUUGCAGUGGUGCAGAACUACCAGUACAAUGAAAUUUCAAACCCUGAAUAUGUGUUUCGUUUUGCCUAUGUAACUUGGAAUGGCGUAUAUGAUUUUUGUGCUAAUGAUAUUUAGGUUUCUUUGAAAUUGCUUUUUUGUUUAUGCUAGUGCCAGUUUCAGGGUUUUAUUUAUUUGUUGUAAAAUUAAAGAAAACUAUUUUGUUAUUUUCUUCUCUGUUAAAUAUUACAUAUGUACUGGUACUAACUCUGAUAAUUGUUGUAUGUAUUACCUGCUUUAUUUUUGUUCACAAGCUGUGAAAAAUUUUAAUAUUUUAUUGGUUUUAAUUUAUGUUAGUUAAUUCCAAUAGUAGCCAAAAAAAAAUACAAAUGGUAGAUAAUUUACAAGUGAAAUCAUAGACGAUGAGUUGCAAAGUUGGCCAGUUUUGUGAGGAUGUGAUGAUGGUUUCAGUACUUCUUAAAAGGUCAAGACUUUGAAAUUAAGUCUGUUUUCCCUAUUAAAACUUGCUCUACUUUUUACAUUUGCAUGAUAGUAAUUUUUAACAACUUGUGUAACUUUAUCAUUAUGGUCGUCACAACUUUCUUAUAUGUUGUUGUGGUUGCUGUUUGAAUCUGUAUGCGCAUAACAUUUAUGCUGCCAAUAUUAUCUCUCUCCUACUUUUAGGAGUAGACAGAAGAUUCAUCGUGAUGACUGGUGCAGAUAAUCUCCUUGCAUCUACUUAGCAGUAGUUACCCCUUCAAUUCUGGUUUGUCUCUAACAGAAAUGUUAUUUUCAGGAGAAGAAUAAGGAGAAAAAGCACAAAAAGGAUAAGGAGGAGAAAGAAAAGAGGGAGGGUAAAGAGAAAAGGGAUAAAGAUAGAAGUAAAGAGAAAAAUAGAGAAAAGAAAGACCGAAAAGAGAAGCACAAAGACAAGGAUAGAGAUAAAGAAAAAAACUGGACUUCAGAUGAGAAGAAAGUUGAAUGGCAACCAGGCUUUUAUGAUGGACAAAAGUUUGGUUCAGAGAGCCUGCAGAAUAAUGAGAUCAAGGAUUCUUUAUGCGUGCAGGAAUUGGCCAGAAGAAUUAAGGAUGAAGAUAGAGCAUCAGGGAGCCAAAUGUUUGAGAAGGUUGUUGCCACAGAUCAAAGAAGAGGUGAGAUACAGGGAAUGGUGGUGGAAAGAAAUAUUGGCAAUCAAUCUGAGGAAAAAGAAAAGUUUAAGAAUAAGAAUGAAGAUCAUAGGAAAAUCAAUGGGCAGAGAAAUCAUUUUGAUACAAGAGGUUUGGGAAGGGCAUUUCAUCAAAAUUUCGUUGGCAUGGCCCAAGAAAGAGUUGAAGGAGUUGUCAAGUUGGUGGAGAAGAAGGAUGCUGAGAAGCAGAUGGAGGGGAAAGAGAAGAGUAAACACAAGGGAAGUGAUGGUAAGGGUAACAAACACAAAGGCAAAGACCGAGAGAAGAAUAGAAAAUCAAAGGAUAAAUACCGGCAUAAGGAAGAGAAGGAGGAGAAAGCGAAAGAGAUAACUGAACCAAUUAAAGAGAAGCCUAAAUUAAAAGAAAAUGUCUCUAAACUAAAAGAGGGUAGCAGGGACUCACUAGACUUCCGAAAUAUCAAAUCAUCAGAAUCAUUGAAGUUAAGCAAUGUAAGUCCUGCUGCUGAGGGAAAUCUUGGAAAGCGAAAGGAGCUUGAGGAAAAUGGAUAUUUACUUGGUGAGCAUUUCCUGUAUUAUAUAAUUAUCACACUGCAGUGUAUCUAUUUCUGUCUGUUGCAUGGAACCUAGUAUGGUAAUAAUGCAUCAUUGUAAUUAGAUUGUCCAAUAUCUAAUUACCUGUUCUCUGGUGCUUUAAUAAUGGUAUUUUUUUUCACUUUCUCUACUCUCUGAGAACUUAAACUAAAAUCUAUCUCAAGUUCCCAUUGUUGGUUUUGCAGGCUCUGAUGUGUUCUUUGUCUUCUUUGGUGGUUAGAUGAAUUGUGCAGAUCUAGCUUCAUAUCAACUUAUUAUAUUUCGUACCUCAUUUUUUUAAACUUCUUUACAGACAAUGGGAGGCGGCCUAAUAAAUUUCCAAGGCCUCUGUCUUCCUCUUUCCCAGCUGUUGAAAAUCUAAGGUUGGAAAAAUGCCAAACUGCUAUUCAGUCAUCUGAGAAGCAGGGGUUAGCUAAUAAUCAUAUAGUGGAUAUCAAGGAACAGAAGCUUAAUGGCUUAGUAGCUGUUCAAGAGCCCAAUAUGUGCUCAAAAAAGCCUUCAUCUAUUGGCGUAGCAGCAAAUGAGAAUAGUGAAAUAUCUUCAAAACCACAUCCUGAUGUGAAAUAUCUGAGUCAGAUACUUUCUAUACCAGAAAUGGAGGAAUGGCCUGAUGCUAAUGAUCAGGAAUGGCUGUUUAGCAGUAGUCAUUUGCUGUCAAAAAAGCCCAGCGGUGGUUCUCCCGGGGAUGAUGGAACACGGCAAGUAUGGGCAGAAGCUCUUCGGAUAGAGUCUUUGGACAUUUCAGCAAUGCCAUAUGUCAUUCCUUACUGAUUUAGUACUAAAUGGUUAGGACUAUCCCUUCGACAACUCCCUGACAUGGCUGUUAGCCUCUAGGGAACACCUGGGGGAGGUAUGCCGGCAUUUGGGUCUUGAGAUUAGUGGUCUGUUCCUUCCUGUUCUUUCAUUGUUUGCCCAGCCCAGAUAAGUUUGUUAAGGACUGUUGGGGGGCUUUGCCGACUUACUUGUAGUUAUUUAUAACAGCUACCAUUGGGUUUUCAUCAGAAGAAACAUUCCUCAUGUGAAGUGGUGAGAUGAAGGACAUUAGACCAAAAAGGUUGAGAUGGUUAGUUCCGAUUCUUCUUAGCUUUAGAGCUUAAACAUAUAGGUUAGAUGAGAGUUACAAUGUUCCCAUGGCCUGUGCUAUGCACACAUUUUUUAAAUCUGUAUAAUGAUUGAUGGUAUACGUAAUUUGUAAAUUAAGAGGGCAAAAUAAAGGAGGCAAAUUUCAUUUAUUUGUGAACUCUUUGUUUUUUUCCCUUGUUUUGGUUGAAUGUAGGAUAUCGAAAUUUUGUUAGAACCAGUCAAGUUCUAUUAGCAAUUGCUUAUUACUUGCUGUUUGAUUUCAUAUUAAUGUUUAAUAUAAUUCAACUCUUC
Molecule: unclassified non-coding RNA, 4564 nt
Filed under: Hevea brasiliensis (rubber tree)
Lineage: Eukaryota; Viridiplantae; Streptophyta; Magnoliopsida; Malpighiales; Euphorbiaceae
Source: RNAcentral